This 435-nucleotide ribosomal RNA is filed under the name uncultured bacterium. Its description in RNAcentral is "partial 16S ribosomal RNA". It matches the Rfam family "Bacterial small subunit ribosomal RNA", at positions 29 to 507 of the family's 1533-position model. The record is from RNAcentral.
AACGAACGCUGGCGGCAGGCUUAACACAUGCAAGUCGAACGCAUGCCUUCGGGCAUGAGUGGCAGACGGGUGAGUAACGCGUGGGAACCUACCCCUUGGUACGGGAUAGCUCCGGGAAACUGGAGAUAAUACCGUAUGUGUCCUGAGGGACAAAGAUUCAUCGCCAAGGGAUGGGCCCGCGUCGGAUUAGCUAGUUGGUGGGGUAACGGCCUACCAAGGCGACGAUCCGUAGCUGGUCUAAGAGGAUGAUCAGCCACAUUGGGACUGAGACACGGCCCAAACUCCUACAGGAAGCAGCAGUGGGGAAUAUUGGACAAUGGGCGCAAGCCUGAUCCAGCCAUGCCGCGUGAGUGAUGAAGGCCCUAGGGUUGUAAAGCUCUUUCACCGGUGACGAUAAUGACGGUAACCGGAGAAGAAGCCCCGGCUAACUUCGUG